Molecule: ribosomal RNA, 483 nt
Filed under: uncultured bacterium
Lineage: Bacteria
Description: partial 16S ribosomal RNA
Rfam family: Bacterial small subunit ribosomal RNA
Source: RNAcentral
AUUGAACGCUGGCGGCAUGCUUUACACAUGCAAGUCGAACGGCAGCGCGGGCUUCGGCCUGGCGGCGAGUGGCGAACGGGUGAGUAAUACAUCGGAACGUGCCCAGUAGUGGGGGAUAGCUCGGCGAAAGCCGGAUUAAUACCGCAUACGACCUGAGGGUGAAAGCGGGGGAUCUUCGGACCUCGCGCUAUUGGAGCGGCCGAUGGCAGAUUAGCUAGUUGGUGGGGUAAAGGCCUACCAAGGCGACGAUCUGUAGCUGGUCUGAGAGGACGACCAGCCACACUGGGACUGAGACACGGCCCAGACUCCUACGGGAGGCAGCAGUGGGGAAUUUUGGACAAUGGGCGAAAGCCUGAUCCAGCAAUGCCGCGGGUGUGAUGAAGGCCUUCGGGUUGUAAAGCACUUUUGGCGGGAACGAAAAGGACUGUGCCAAUACCACGGUUCGAUGACGGUACCCGCAGAAUAAGCACUGGCGAACUACGU